Long non-coding RNA from Columba livia (rock pigeon), 1433 nucleotides. RefSeq lists it as uncharacterized. NCBI's taxonomy places the organism in Eukaryota, Metazoa, Chordata, Aves, Columbiformes, Columbidae. The transcript is spliced from 2 exons. The record is from RefSeq and is a predicted model, not a curated record.
UUCUGGCAUCAUCUCAGUUGACAUCACACAUCCCGACACUCCGCAGCUCCGACUUUCUCCCCGCCGCACGCUUUGCUGGCAAACGCCCCCCUUCCCCAGCAUCUUUGGGGUUAAUUCAUGCAAAUUUGGGGGUUGGAGGAGGUGGGGGGGAGGAUGGAGGAGGUGAAGAUUUGCCCGAAGCCCCUCGUUUUCUCCCCGCUGCAGGCAGGAGCCAUGCCGGCGCUUCCGAGAGCUCCCUUCCCAAGGAGGCAUCUCCUGGCCCUGAAGGAUGGAGAUGGCCAAGCUCCUACAGACCUGGUGUAUAAACCCCAUGGACCAGGGGGGAGAUGCCUCCACCUGGACCGCUCUGUGUCAUCCCACAGCAACAAGUCCUGCGAGGCACCCGCCACCCAGUGAACAGUGGAAAGCAACGGGAAAUAUUUCUAUUCCCAUACACAGCUGGCAAAUUUGCAAUGAGCUGCUGGUGCCAACAGUGAUUGCCCACAGAAUCCCAGAACCACGGGAUGGUUGGGGUGGAAGGGACCUCUGGAGAUCCCCCAGCCCUGCUCACGUGGGGUCACCAGUGCAGAUCCAGACCCCUCAGCAUCUUUGUGUCCCUUCCUGGACUCUCCUUGUCCACCCCAGGGACAACAAGGUGGGUUGGGAGGGCUUGGCCCGCCCUCGAUACCCAAGAAACUCAGUGCUAAGUGUAAUUAAUUGCCCAUCAGGCGGGGGAUGUGGGGACAUAGGAGGGCUCAUGUUAUUUUAGCUUCCCAAGGGGCAGCGGGUGGCACCAAGUGGGUGCAUCACCGAGGCUUGCGGGGGAUGUUUUCACCCACUGCUCCUCCCAGCCCCUCAAAAACCUAUUUCCCAAUACUGAAAAGGACUUUCUAAACCUACGGCAAAACUGGGAAUCCUCAGUGCGCACAUCGGGCCGGACAGGAGGCUCCUCCGCUCAGGGGUUUCAUGUCAUCUGCAUCAUUUUGGCCUUUUCUGAAGGCAGAUCUGCCAUAACAGGUUGAAUCCAGAAAACAUUCUGCCUGAGGCUCAUCCUUAUGCAAUAUGCAGAAACUGAGGCCGGGGAGAGAACAACUCGAGUGCAGCUGAAUUUCUAACUUGUUAUUCCUGCUGCCGCCUUGCGAAGGUUUUGAAAACAGUGGUGGUGUGGGUUUUUUUUUCAUAUAAACAGCUCCAGCUCCUUACACGGAGCCAAAAAACAUCUCUAGCAAAUCAGGGGAAUUUCUCUGAACUGAGUGAGCUCUCCUGAUUUACGAUCCUAAUUGUGGAGCUAUUAUUGCAGCGUGUGGCGGCACUCGCCCCCCUGCCACGCUGACAUCUCCCGCGUAACCCAGCCUUGCUCCAGCUGCAGGAGCUGAGGAAUUGCACCCACUUCUCUGUUUCACACGGAUUUAACCACCCGAUGUCUUUGCAUUAAUAUUAAAAUUAAAAAAUCA